ACGCUGGCGGUGUGCUUAACACAUGCAAGUGGUGCGACGAACCAGAGCUUGCUCUGGGGCAAAGCCGCGAACGGGUGAGUAACACGUGGGUAAUCUACCCCGAUGACCGGGACAACCCGAGGAAACUCGGGCUAAUACCGGAUGUGGUACGGAGACAUAAGUCUCUUUACUAAAGGUAGCUUCGGCUUCCGCAUUGGGAGGGGCCCGCGGCCCAUUAGCUAGUUGGUGGGGUCAAGGCCUACCAAGGCAACGAUGGGUAGCUGGUCUGAGAGGACGAUCAGCCACACUGGGACUGAGACACGGCCCAGACUCCUACGGGAGGCAGCAGUGGGGAAUCUUGCGCAAUGCGCGAAAGCGUGACGCAGCAACACCGCGUGAGGGAAGACGGCCUUAGGGUUGUAAACCUCUUUCAGAUGAGACGAAGGUGAUGCGGUGAAUUGCCGAUGUCAUUGGCGGUACCGUCAGAAGAAGCUCCGGCUAACUACGUG
This 488-nucleotide ribosomal RNA is filed under the name uncultured bacterium. RNAcentral's name for it is "bacterial SSU rRNA". It matches the Rfam family "Bacterial small subunit ribosomal RNA", at positions 33 to 507 of the family's 1533-position model. The record is from RNAcentral.